RNAcentral lists this ribosomal RNA (335 nucleotides) under Mauremys reevesii (Reeves's turtle). RNAcentral describes it as "partial 12S ribosomal RNA". It matches the Rfam family "Bacterial small subunit ribosomal RNA", at positions 872 to 1366 of the family's 1533-position model. Lineage: Eukaryota; Metazoa; Chordata; Testudines; Geoemydidae. The record is from RNAcentral.
CCAGAGAACUACGAGCAAAACGCUUAAAACUCUAAGGACUUGGCGGUACCUCAAACCCCCCUAGAGGAGCCUGUUCUAUAAUCGAUAAUCCACGAUCCACCUCACCAUCUCUUGCCAAUCCCGCCUAUAUACCACCGUCACCAGCUUACCCCAUGAGGCAUUAAAGUAAGCAAAAUAACUAAAAGUUAACAAGUCAGGUCAAGGUGUAGCUUAUUGAGAUGGGAAGAAAUGGGCUACAUUUUCUAUACUAGAAAUAAAUUUACGGAAAGGAACUAUGAAAUAAGUCCCACAAGUAGGAUUUAGCAGUAAACCGGGAUCAUGAAUACCCGAUUUAA